UGAAGAAUUUGUCCAACGGCGGGGGAUAGCCGGCCCAACGGCCGGGUAAUACCGCGUACGACCUCUCGGGGACAUCCCCGGUUGGUGAAAGCAGCAAUGCACCGAAAGAGUGCCUCGCGGCCUAUCAGCUAGUUGGUGGGGUAACGGCUCACCAAGGCGGCGACGGGUAGCUGGUCUGAGAGGAUGGCCAGCCACAUUGGAACUGAGACACGGUCCAGACUCCGUACGGGAGGCAG
Molecule: ribosomal RNA, 236 nt
Filed under: uncultured bacterium
Lineage: Bacteria
Description: partial 16S ribosomal RNA
Rfam family: Bacterial small subunit ribosomal RNA
Source: RNAcentral